AGAGUUUGAUCAUGGCUCAGUCUGAACGCUGGCGGCGUGCCUAAUGCAUGCAAGUCGAGCGACGCAUGCCGGAGGGGUAACCCACCGACAUGACGGAGCGGCGAACGGGUGAGUAACACGUGAGCAACCUGCCCCACAGACCGGGAUAGCCCAGGGAAACCUGGAUUAAUACCGGAUAUCCUCGGAUGACCUCAUGGUCGAUCGAGGAAAUGCCUUUGUGCUGUGGGAUGGGCUCGCGGCUUAUCAGCUAGUUGGUGGGGUAACGGCCUACCAAGGCAUCGACGAGUAGCUGGUCUGAGAGGACGAUCAGCCACACUGGGACUGAGACACGGCCCAGACUCCUACGGGAGGCAGCAGCAGGGAAUCUUGCGCAAUGGGCGAAAGCCUGACGCAGCAACGCCGCGUGGGGGAUGAAGGCCUUCGGGUUGUAAACCCCUUUCAGGAGGGAAGAAAUUGACGGUACCUCCAAAAGAAGCACCGGCCAACUACGUGCCAGCAGCCGCGGUAAUACGUAGGGUGCGAGCGUUAUCCGGAAUCAUUGGGCGUAAAGAGCUCGUAGGCGGUUCAGCAAGUCGGCUGUGAAAGUCCGAGGCUCAACCUCGGAAUUGCAGUCGAUACUGCUGUGACUCGAGUCCGGUAGAGGAGAACGGAAUUCCCGGUGUAGCGGUGAAAUGCGCAGAUAUCGGGAGGAACACCAGUA
Molecule: ribosomal RNA, 700 nt
Filed under: uncultured bacterium
Lineage: Bacteria
Description: bacterial SSU rRNA
Rfam family: Bacterial small subunit ribosomal RNA
Source: RNAcentral